This is a long non-coding RNA of Drosophila mojavensis, 1163 nucleotides long. RefSeq lists it as uncharacterized. NCBI's taxonomy places the organism in Eukaryota, Metazoa, Arthropoda, Insecta, Diptera, Drosophilidae. The record is from RefSeq and is a predicted model, not a curated record. The transcript is spliced from 3 exons.
GUGCCAUCCGCUAAUCUAAACAAAUGAAAUCUCUUAUUAGCCUACAAAAAUAUUAGUUUACUUAGAUUUUUAUUAGUCCUAAACUGGCUAUAGUUGUAGAUACUGUGUUAAAUUGUUAUUGUAAUACGUGCUGGAGCUUCGGAAACAAAUGUUAAAGGAAAUUGUGAUUUAUAUUUAUACCCAUUCCUCAUGGACUGAAACCGGAGUUGAAAAUUGGCAACGAAAAUAGUUUACAUAAAUUCUGAGCACACUUGCAUGGCCGAGCAUGAAUUGGACUGGAACCGGAGAAUGGCUUCGAUAUUUGGUGGGGUGGGCUGCAACACUCUCUGGCAAUCGAGUUGCAAAUGGCAAAAUAUUUAAAUGUAACUCAAUUUGGAGCGCGCUGGAAACCACUGCCCCAACAAGGAGAUGCAGGACAACAGAGCAGCAGCAGCAGCAAUAGGAGCAGGAGACAGCAAAUGUGUGUGUCCUUCUACCCAUAAUAACGAGAUAUUUCUAUUUGAUUUAUUUAUAAGUGCAAUUUGUGCGCAUUUCUUUUGCAAAACUCUCGCCGCUCCCAAUGCCUUUUGAGCUCCGACACACACACACACAUAUGCACACGCACACACACGUGUUCACACAUACUUACAUUUGAAAUGGGGUGUGGUCUUCUGACUGCAGGGAAAUGCAAUGUUUUAUUGACGACAGGCAAUUCAAUUUGCAAAGUCUGUAAUAUAUUUUGAUGCCAAAGCGCAAAUAAAAAUUGAAAUCAAAUGCUAAGCAUAGCUGAAAAUCAAAUAAAAUAAGAAAUUCAAAUGGCAACGGCUGUUCGAGGGUAUUGCUUGAUCUUUUCCACGCCCACAGAAUGCUUGAAAAUGCCAGAAUUUCAUUUGUGAUUGCAUAUUGCAUGGAUAAUCUGAAUCAAUAUAAAAAGGUGGAAUUUGUAAACGGAGAUAAGCUAAAAGCACUCUGAAUGCCGAAUGGAAUCCAUUUAAAGGGAAAAUUAAAAGCUCUCUAAUAUAUUCGUAGUGAUGAAUUCUUUGCCGUAUCUAUGAGGCACACCUUUACGCAAAUGUUAAACGAUUCUGAGUUCUGCAAACGGUGUAAAUAAACGCAAGAGAAUUAUUAAUGCGGACACCUUAUCAAAAAUGGCAGCAAUCAGCACGCUCAGUUAGCACCUCAUU